CUGAAAACAAACAAACAAACAAACAAAAACAUCUGCAUUUUCACACAUCUGCAGUGCUUUAGAAAAUGUUUACCUUUUUUUUUUUUAUAGAGGAACGUUUCUGUUUCAGACUUAAUUUUUUGGGUGGAGUCAGUUUGGGGGAGGUUGAAGACUCGUCAGUGUUUUUUUUUUUUAAGUGCAGUUGCAGUUCACUUCACAGACAGAAGAGGGCUCUGAACAUUACAUACUGCUGCUUUAAUCAGGGUUUUAGCAGUUAGAGAACUGAGAGAGAGAGAGAUGGCAUGAGAUCCCUAAAGACGUACAGAGAGAAAGAGAGAGAGACAGACACACACAGAGAGAAAACGCAGAGAGAUAGACAAAUGUGAGAGAGACAGACAGACAGAGAGAAACAGAGAGGGACAGAGAAAGACAGUGAGAGAGAGAGAGAGAGAGAGAGAGAGAGAGAGAGAGCGUAUGGGGUUAGUAAAAUCCCUCGUUCCGGAUACCAUCAGCAAUUUUCUUUCAGUCGUUCCUGAAUAAGUUGUUCUUGACUAGCGAUAUUUUCAUAUUUUUUCUCCUUUUAAAUCUGUUAUUAUUUCUUUUUUCGUUCACCACACAAGCUGUCCAUCCCUUCAUCUCUCAAUCUCCUCCUUCCUCUCUCUCCCUCUCUCCCUCUGUCAGACGUGUGCUCUCACACUCGAUCGCUCAGUCUCCCGCUCUCCCCCUCCCUCGUUCCCCAUCCUCACACACACUCUCUCUCUCUCUCUCUGUCACACACACACACACACACACACAUACACACACACACCCUAUCAGCGGAAGGUGCUGGCAGUAGCAGCAGAGGAAGAAGGGAUGCAGGCGUGUGAAUGAGUGAGCGUCCUCCUUCAGCGUGGAUUUACUGAACAAAAGAGGAGCAGCGUCUCUCUUUUUAUUUCUGCUUCCAUCUUUUUUCCUCCUCCGUCUCUCAUCCAUCGGCUUGCUGGUGCUGGUGGUGCUGGUGGUCUUGUUGUUUUUCGAGGCUGGAGGAGGACGGAGGACGGAGGACGAGUGCCCCUGCCUUCUGUUUCCUGCUUCACAUUCGCACUUGUUCAGUGUUUUUUGAGGUCGCCUCCUCCUCGAGGACUGCACUCGUUUUUUUCGUGUUCUCUCUUUCCCAGCGGAGGCCUUUUGUCUCGGUGCGGCGUUGAACGGAGCUAUUGUUGGACACACAGGCCUCGCGCUGCUCUCUCUCUCUCUCUCUCUCUCUCCUUCUCUCUCUCCCUCCGCAGUAUCCUUCCCUCCCUCCCUCCCUCCCUCCCUCUUACUCCAUCCUCUCAUUCCGAGGCACCUUGCUUAAAUCCGGUAUCCAUCCUUCUGUCCAUCAUUCUUAAUGUGUGUUCUGCGGAGUGUGUAUCCCGAUGUUUGGCUUCGGGUCAUCCGGAUUGGCUCAAGCCGAGCCUGUGUGUCGUUCCUAGUGUGUGUGUGCGUGUGUGUGUGUGCGGGUGUGUGUGAAGAAACCAUGCAUCUAGCCUGAUGCCAGGACCGGGGUGCCCCAUUCCAAUGUGGGAGGACUAAAGCGUCACAUUUGCACCCCCCUUCCUCCCUACCCCUUUACCCCCUUGCUCCCUCACCCCCUUUUUGCCCCGUUCCCGUCCUGUCCCCUCCAACGCAACGAUGAAGAAAACGCGCAACCUGCGGCGGGCAUGGCCCGGUCCGGACGGACCCGAUUUGGGCUCCGAUCGCGACAAGGACUACCGGCUCCACAAGCACUUCCCCCCUUCUCUCCCCCCUCUUGCGCCCUACAUCGCUCAAGGUGGGUGCAACUUAUAUUAGCCUAGUGUCCAAAUUUUUUUUUUUUAAAGCCUAUAGUGUAAAUGCUCAUCUAAUAUGUGUGUAUAUAAAAAAUAGAAAUACAUAGUUCUGUUUUUUUUCUCUCUUACACACACACAUUGCUAGCCUGCUAGCAUCCUGGCUUCUAGCUCUAGUGUCUGGGCCUGGUUCUGUUUUUCUCUACUAGAGUGUGUUUGUUACAAAAAAAAGGGGUGUGUGUGUGUGUGUGUGUGUGCUGAUGUUCGUGUCUUUCCUGAAUGAUAUCAAGGUGUAGAGAUAAGAUAAUGAGAGGGGGAAAAAAACAGGAAGCAUACAAGCCCUCAUCCACCAUUUUGGUCCUUGGCUUGGGAAUUACAUCACCGAGGUUGUGGAUAAAAAUUCAAGCUGCCGGCCUCCGUGUUCUCGUCUCAGCUCCUUUUCAUGACUAGGAUGAAAACGAGAGCAGAGAGAAUGAGAGAGAGAGAGAGAGAAAGAUAUUUCAUGAGAGAGAGCGUGAGAGAGAGAGAAGGGGAAGAAAAAUGGAGUGGAGAAGGACCUAGCGUCCGUUUUUUUCCCUCCAUUUUGGUGAUGGCUGCAUCGUCCUGGUGUGUGUUAGCGCAGGACAGUUGGGGUGAUUAGCAUCGGCCAUGGUGCGGUGACGAAACUCCGUGUCAAACGUCACUUCGGUCCGAUAGUGAGAAGGAGGACUGACGAGAGAGACAGAGAGGAAGUGGAGAGUCUGCUCAAUGUCUCUGUUUUCUCUGUGUCUCACUACACACUUGAAAACCAGUCUCCGUUUUUGUUAGCAUAAUGUGCGUGUGUGUGUUAGCAUGUGACGGUGUGUAAGUGUAGUAGUGUGUGUGUGUAUCCUCGUGUGCUGCCAGGAGAGAGGGUGGGUGGAGAGAGUUAGCCUAGCUGACGUCGUUAGCUUACAGGCUAACCCUCUGCGCACUUGCUGCUAGCAUGCUAGACCCAAAGUCGCUGUCGUAGCACAGUGGAGUCUUAAGUAUCAUCGUUUCGUAUUUUGUAAUUUGUUUCUAAUAAUCGUAUCGCUGAGAUUAAUUCGAACGAGAGGAUUUUUGUAGAAGGCAUACGCUCUGUGUUUAGCUUCGUGUAUAAAAUUCUAACAUUGUAACAACAUGUUUACACUGUCUUACUGAUGAGUGUAAUGUUUACUGAACUGGCAACCAAAUAAAAAAAAAUAAUAAAAAAACAGGAUCCAUUUUUAUUGUUUGGGCCUUUGCAGUGUUUCAUUCGAAGCAGUGUGUUUUAGCGCUGAUUAUAAAAAAAAUAUAUUUUAAAGUAUUGUGUUGAAUAAUUUGUCAUUCGGUUUAUCCUGAGGUAAUAUUUUCGUUGUUUUAUGUUCUGUUUUUCGUGCCUGAAAAUCUUCUGCGUCACGUUUCGUUUGUAGCACAUUGGAUCACUUAUCAUAUUAGCACGAUACCAGACUAACAAAUAAAAGAACUGAUGUUAGAAAUAGAUUUUUUUUUUGCACCCAAUGUCAAAUAUUACCUCAGGAACUGCACAGUAACUAGGCUAAUUGCAAAACUGUAAAUAGGGUAAGCCAUGAACCAGCAUUAAGCAAUGCUGCUUUGUGUGUAAACCAUUCUGUACAAUGCUAGUUUGUUUGUUACGCAUUCUCUACAAUGCUAGUUUGUCCAUUUUACAGUAAUGAAACUUCAUGAGGUAAUGUUUCUCUAUGUAAUAUGUAGCUGUUCAGCAUCACUUUGCUUUUGUAGCACAUCAGGUCAACACGUUAGCAUUAUACGAAACCAACAAAUAAUAUAAAACGGAUAUUAGACAGAUGUUUUGACUCAUUGUUCUACAGGAACUUUCAGUCACUAAACAUUAUACAAUGUAUAAAAAAUAUUACCUCAUGACCAUUGCAGUACCAGGCUAAUUACAGACUAGCACUGCUGCAAACAGACGAACUAACAAAUUAGCGUUAUUUAUAUAUAAGUUUAAUUGCUAAAUAAUCACACAGACCUGGGGUGUUGUUUAGCUGCUAAGACACAAAAACAAGCUAUUUAAAAAAAAUUAAACUAGCUUUAACUAUAAAGCAAUUUUGUGGUUAAUCUUUUUACAGUGUGUAUGUGUGCCAUCAAAAAAAGUUUUGAUCUAAUAUUUGAUCAUUUUCUGUCAGAAAAUAUACAAAAUACAAAAACAGCACCUCAUGAAAUGCCAUUAUAGUAAACAGGCAAACAAAUGAACUAGCAUUGUAGGAAGCACUUACACUCAAUCCCUAAUUUUGUAAGUCUUAGUCCUAAUUUGCUGGCCUUGCAUAACACUAAUGUUUUGACACAGUGCGGAAAGUAAUAUGCAACAUUUUGUGUCAUAAAAUAUACGACAUUAGAACAUUACCUCAUGACCUACCAUUUAGUAAAUAACUAAAAUGAACUAGCAUUGUAGAGAAUAGCUAACACACAAACUUGUAUUACUGCAACAAAAAUAACGGAUUAAUUAGCUGGUUUGCCUUUAGCAAAAUUAGCCUAAGAUAAGCCUGGUGUCUUAGCCUGGCUACUUCAGUGCUAGUUCAUAGCUUAUCCUAUUUAUAACAAUAUCAAUUUAUAACAAUGCUAAUAAGUAGCUUUUGUUGUCCUGUGGUGCUAGUUCAUUCGCCAGUUUAUUGUCAUGUUCAUGCUGCACUGCAAUUGUAAAAUGGAAAUUUUGUGACUGAAAUGUUCUGUCCCGUUGCCUUUGUACUAUUAUGCUAGGUUAAUGGUUAGCUUAUUUACUGUAAAACUAGUUUGUUAGUUAGCCUAGCAUAAUAUUAUGCUAGUUGUAGGUUAGCCUAAUUACUAUAAUGCUAGUUUGUGGGAUAGUCUUUUUUUUACCAUAAUGCUAGUUUGUGGUUUAGUCUUGUUACUGUACCACUCGUUAAUAUUUUAGGUGUUUAGUAUGUUAGUUUAUGGGUUACCCAGUUUAUUAUAAUGCUACUUUGUUUACUUUAAUGCUAUCUGGCUUGUUAUUAUAUAAUGCUAAUAUCUCAAUUAGCCUGUUUACAAUAAUUCUAGUUAAUGGGUACCGUUAAUUUUAAUACUAGUUAAAAUGGCUUAUUGUUAAUGUUAGUUUGUGGAUUAGCGUAUUUACUGUAAUGCUGAAUUUUCUGUUAGCCUGUUCACUGGAAUGCUAGCUGGUGGUUAGACUGUUUGUUGCAGUAAAUGUUUUUUUUGUUGUUGUUGUUAUUGUUGUUUUUAAUUGUUAGUUCAUGGAUUAAUCUGUUUAUUAACAUGGUGGUUGUUCCUAUGGACGCUGUUUUUCAGGCUUUCCCUACAUUCACACUAGCAAAUGACUAGACUUUAUUCUCCUAAAGUUAAGUAUUAUGCAGGAAACGAAACUGGCUCGUAUGAUUCCUCAGAUAUCUGCAGUUAGUUCCUAUUUACUGUUUACACAAACAUGGAAGAAAAAUUCAAAAAUCUUAUCCUGUCAUACACAACCUCUCAUUAAAAUGUGUAUAGAGACAAUGCGGCGAGAAAUAAAGCUUGGAAGGGAGUAGCAGAGAUCGUUGGUGCAUCUGGUGAGUGUACGUACCUAGACCAGGUAUCUUGCUAGGACGAAAAUCAAAAACACCAAAUCCAAUUUUCACACUGAUUCAAUUUGUAACUAGUCAGCUUUAAAAGAUCAUAAUAAAGAUCAUAAUAAAUAUCAUAAUAAAGAUCAUUAUAAAGAUCAUAAUAGGAUCAUAAUAAAGAUCAUAAUAAGAUCAUAAUAAGAUCAUAAUUUUUCUAAUCAUAGCUUCUUUUUUGCUAUUCUUGGCUUAGUAGCAUGCUUAGAUCAGCCUUUGUUGUGUGUAUGCGUGUGCGUGUGUGUGUGUGUGUUUUCUGGGUCUCCUUUGUGUAACAUGAAUGCCAGCUGUGUGUACACACUCCUCACCUGUACAGCGGCCUUGUACCUCUCCUCACUCUCUUACCCUUCAUCAUGCCAUUAUUAUUUAUUUUUCCCAUAAGCCUAUUCCCACUGAUCGCUGAGUCAGUUUGCCUUCUGAUAUUCAAAGAAACGUGUGUGUGUGUGCGUGUGUGUGUGUGUGUAUGUGUGUGUGUGUGUGUGUUUAUACAGCAGACAUUUAAUGUAGGAUCAAAUCACUGGUAUUGUGGACGCAUUAUUGUUCGACAUCCUAAUCAGUUAACGAGUGUGUGCUGAGAAUCAGCUAUACGAUACUUUAUGGUAAAUUAUAUGAUCUACGGGCUCAGUAGUAUUAUUAUAUUGUUAUUGUUAGACUUUUUUUAUUUAAUUUAUUUUUUUUACUUUUUGUGAAUCAAAAAAUAUCAUGAGGUGUGACUAUUUCAUUGUGUGUGAAAUUUCAGGCAUAAAUAUAACCAUAGGCUCUUGCUGUGUGUCCAUCUAACACACACACACACACACACACACACACACACACACACACUGUCCCAGCUGCAGUAGAGCCUGUGAUUUAGGCGUGGGAGAAAAAGGAGGCCACGGUGGUGCAUUAAUAGCCGAGCCUCUGUAGUAACACGCGUAAAAGAGCGAAUGAGUGAGUGAGGGAGGGAAGGAGAGUACAAGGGAUAGUGAGGAAGGAGGGAGGGAUGGAGAGAGAGAUGCCAUGUGUGUAACUGCAAUCUCCACCUCCAGUUAGCUACGGUUUAGCUGUCACAUUUAUGGUUUUUGACCUUUUGCAACAGCGGAGACGUCUAAAAACUACGCUUUUCUCUUUUUUCAGCUAAAACAGCAGUCAGAUUAAAACUAAUCAAAUUUACCCGACUGACUGAAGGGGAAAGGACGCGGGAUGUGAAAUACAGGUACUUUCACGUCUCGUGUCCUGAACUUUUGUCUUACUGGUUUCUUACUAUUGAUUGGCUGAAGAAAAUCGGUCUCAUCCAUUGUUCUGUGGUAAAUGUACGUUGUUGUUUUUUGCUCAGAGCUUGCUGGGAGUUUCGUAUGGAAUACUAUAGUGUAUGUAACACUUAAGUUUACAGAAUACUAAAAUGUACAGAAUACUGAAGUCUACAGUGUACUGUUGUUUACAGAGUACCGAAGUACGCAGAAUACUGAAGUGCACUUCAUAUUGUAGUGUAUGGAAUACUGUAGUAUACAGACAACUGAAGUGUUUGUAAUACUGAAGCAGGUCUAAUAUUGUAGUGUAUGGAAUAUGGAAGACUAUGGAAUACUGAAGCGGACAUAAUAUCGUAGCAGAUGGAAUACGGAAGUGUAUGGAACGAUGUGGUGUAGCGAAUACAGGCGUGAGCGGAAGUACUGACACGUAUGGAAUACUGAAGUGUACAGAAUACUGAAAAGUGUAAUGCUGUAGUGUAGAUAAUAAGGUAGGUUAGGGAGUACUGAAGUGUAAGGAAUGAUGACGUGUACACAAUACUGAAGUGUAGGGAAGGACUGAAGUAUGCGGAAUACUGACGUGUACAUAAUAAUGUAGUGCACGGAAUACUGAAGUCUAAGGGGUAAUGAAGCAUUGGGAAUACUGAAGUGUCAGGAAUACUGAAGUAUACAGAAUGCUAAAGUAUAUGGAAUGAUAAAGUAUAUGGAGCGAUGAAGUGUAGGGAAUACUGAAGUGUGCGGAAUACUGAAGUGUAGGUAAUACUAUAGUGUAUGGAAUAUUGAAGCGUAUGGAAUCCUGAAGUGUAUGGAAUACUGAAGCGUAUGGAAUCCUGAAGUGUAUGGAAUACUGAAGCGUAUGGAAUCCUGAAGCGUAUGGAAUACUGAAGUGUAUGGAAUACUGAAGCGUAUGGAAUCCUGAAGUGUAUGGAAUACUAUAGUCUAUGGAAUACCAAAUACAAUUUUUUCUAGAGACUUUUCUAAUACUUUAAUGUAGGUAAUACUGUAGUGUAGGGAAUACUGAUGUGUACAGAAUACUAUAGUGUAGGGAAUUCUAUAUCUGAAAUACUGAAGUGUACAAAAUAUUGUAGUGUAUGGAAUAUUGAAGCAUAUGGAAUACUGAAGCGUAUGGAAUCCUGAAGUGUAUGGAAUAUUGAAGCGUAUGGAAUACUGAAGCGUAUGGAAUACUGAAGUGUAUGGAAUACUGAAGCGUAUGGAAUCCUGAAUCAUAUGGAAUAAUGAGGUGUACAGAAUACUGAACUGUACACAGUAGUGAAGUGUGUGGAAUGAUGAAGUGUAUGGAAUACUAUAGUCUAUGGAAUACCAAAUACAAUUUUUUCUAGAGACUUUUGUAAUACUUUAAUGUAGGUAAUACUGUAGUGUAGGGAAUACUGAAGUGUACAGAAUACUAUAGUGUAGGGAAUUCUAUAUCUGAAAUACUGAAGUGUACAAAAUACUGUAGUGUAUGGAAUACUGGAGUGUGUGUAAUGGUGAAGUGUACGGAAUACUGGAGUGUGUGUAAUGGUGAAGUGUAGGGAAUAAUAUAGUGUAUGGAAUACUGAAGUGUAUGGAAUACUGGAGUGUGUGUAAUGGUGAAGUGUAGGGAAUACUGGAGUGUGUGUAAUAGUGAAGUGUACAGAAUACUGGAGUGUGUGUAAUGGUGAAGUGUACGGAAUACUGGAGUGUGUGUAAUGGUGAAGUGUAGGGAAUACUGGAGUGUGUGUAAUGGUGAAGUGUAGGGAAUACUGGAGUGUGUGUAAUGGUGAAGUGUAGGGAAUACUAUAGUGUAUGGAAUACUGGAGUGUGUGGAAUACUGGAGUGUGUGUAAUGGUGAAGUGUAGGGAAUACUGGAGUGUGUGUAAUGGUGAAGUGUACGGAAUACUGGAGUGUGUGUAAUGGUGAAGUGUACGGAAUACUGGAGUGUGUGUAAUGGUGAAGUGUAGGGAAUACUGGAGUGUGUGUAAUGGUGAAGUGUAGGGAAUACUAUAGUUUAUGGAAUACUGAAGUGUACGGAAUACCGGAGUGUUCCGUACUGUACUGGAGUGAAGCUAUACUGGCUUAGAAUUUUCUAAUGACUAGCGUUAGCUUAAUUUACUGUGGUGCAGUCAUUUGUUAAGGCUAACAUUAGCUCAUUUUAAUAAAUCACUUCCAUUUUGAAUAACGCACUCUCAUGGAAAAGAACUGGAAGCUAAGUCAGAUUUGCAUGUGCUCUCAGCCAUAAUUGUUUUUCUUUUGCCUCCGAUUUGCUUGACUGAGACCCUAUAUGUGAAUUUCUGCCCUCUUCAGAUUGAGUUAUUAAACUGACUCUCCAUUUGACAUCACUUUGAAAAUGUUCCAGAAAAAUACUGACAGAAAUACCAAUCGCCUUUAUUUUUGUCUACGUUAUCAGUAAUGUCAUAAUUAUUUCAACGGUACUUAUGUGAUAAUCUUACAGUCCUCAAUAGACCUUGAGCUUUAAAAAGGCUAAAACAGACCAAAUUUCUUCUACUCAUCGUUUACUCUUGUAUAACGCUUUAGUUUUCAUGUUUGUUAAAUGUAUAAAGAAAGAGUUUCUGAGGUGCAGUCAGUCUGUCACUAAAGCUUAGCUGGAGUCAGACUGCUAAUAUGCUAGCCUUCACAUAUAGCAAACCCAUCUGUAGCAUUCAGCACUUAGCUUUGCUCCAGAUCGCCUCGUUAUUUUUACAUUUACAUUUACAGCAUUUGGCAGACGCCCCUAUCCAGUGCGACUUACAAUUAUCAAACAAUUAUUUUUUAUACAACUGAGCAAUUGAGGGUUAAGGGCCUUGCUCAAGGGCGCAGUCGUGGAAGCUCGACGGUGCUGGUAUUUGAAUUCUCGACCUUCCGAUCAGAAGUCCAGAGUCCUAACCACCGAGCUACCACUUCCUGUUUAGUGAUUAUCAAAUUAAUUUUCAAAUCUCAACACUUCUGUCACUUUAACUCAAAUGACAGGAGAGCACUGUUGCUAGGCAACUGGAAACAAGGACACAGAGCUAAGCUAGCUAAUGGCUGAGCCUCAGGAUUUAGCUACCUAGCAUAGAGCCAAAAGGUCUUUGAUACAGGCAAAGUAAAGGUAUAGUGAGAGUUUAAAUGACACAGAACUAUAAAGAAUAACAACUUUUACCUCAGAUCUGCUAUUACAUUAUUUAGAAAAGGCUCCCAAGAGCUAUAAUUACACUGAAAAUACACUUAGCAUCAACCGCUAACAGAAUUUCCAUGGAUUCUGCCAUAUUGAGAAACGUCACUGUGGGCCAUUUAUGUGUAAUUUUCUUAUAAACACAGUGAAUGCAGGACAAAUCUGAUUUUUUUUUGUUGUUGUUUUAUUUUGUUAUUAACAACAGAUUUGUUUUUAGAGCAUUUCCAUCUUUCCCUAAGUAAAGACCACCUGUAAGAUUUGAUAUCUCCUUCUAUUUUUAUUUUUUCUUUAGAUGUACGCUGUGUUUGUUUUCUUUAAUUAUUCGUUGUUGAAUUAAAUAGUCUAAAAUACCACAUAUGAAGCUGUUCGUGCAUCUUCAUGUGUGUAUAUGUGUAACAUGCGUUGUAUGUGGGUGUGUGUAGCGAGGCCCGAGUGUGUGUUCAGGCUCCAGAGGCUGUCCGGUACCACACUCUUGCUAAAUAUGGAACACACUGCUACUGCAUCUGCCUGGCAGGGACACAACUGAGAAUAGCAGCAUCUUGGGCUUUCUCUUCCGUUUGUACCUUUCAGUUUUGCCUCUGUGUGUGUGUGUGUGUGUGUGUGUGUGCGUGCGUGCGUGUCAGGAUGGCGUGUCUUUCUGCUGCAGGAGGUUUUUUUUUUUACCAAAACAUCUUCAAAACCAGUGACUGUGCGGCAGAUAUGUUUUAUUAAUUGCACUAUCUGGAGGCACUCUGUCCUCAUUACUGUGUGUGUGUGUGUGUGUGUGUGUGUGUGUGUGUGUGAUGCCCAAUUAUGACAGAAAUAUAUGUAAAUGUUGUUAAUGCAGUGAUUUGAAAUAAAGAAGCAAGUUUUAACACUUCACUGGUGUAAUAACGCAAACGGCUGGAGACUGGUAUCGGUUGCAGAACUCAGCAAGUGAUUGGUCAGUACUUGGUUGUGAUGUAGACAGACAGACAGACAGACUGUCAGACAGACAGUGAUUUCUGAUUGGCUGAUAGUGGCCAUGUUUUACGAGUUAUUGUUAGAAAUCCACUUAGAGAUUUAAGAUGCAGAAAUGCAGUAUAGACGCUUCCAGCCGGUGGUGCGAUGAAGCGGAGUUACUGUUAUCACCCUGAAGUUAAUUCUUUUCCUGUAACGUCACGUAGGGAAGUGUUUUAUUCCCUCUUAAAUUUGCUGGUGGUUACAAACCGCAAAAAGUAAACUCUUCUGUCCUGAAGGUGUCAGAAAACACUGACACUGGAGACGUUUCUUUACAUCAACCUUCACCAUACCGACGAUUCCACGUGUUUUUUAGUCCGCUUAUUAUCAGUGGAG
This is a long non-coding RNA of Ictalurus punctatus (channel catfish), 10999 nucleotides long. The record is from Ensembl. NCBI's taxonomy places the organism in Eukaryota, Metazoa, Chordata, Actinopteri, Siluriformes, Ictaluridae.